RNAcentral lists this unclassified non-coding RNA (2394 nucleotides) under Hevea brasiliensis (rubber tree). Lineage: Eukaryota; Viridiplantae; Streptophyta; Magnoliopsida; Malpighiales; Euphorbiaceae. The record is from RNAcentral.
GAACAGGCCUCACAAGCCACUGAUUUGAAGAAUCCAGAUAUCGAUAUCUAUGAGUUGGAUUAUCAGAAUCAAAUGAAGCAGGUAACGCCAAGUCUGGCAUGGGUACUGGCACUGAUGAUGCACCACCAGUCUCUUCAUCUACAUUUUCGCUGGGAUCAGUUGGUGGUAAACUUUCAGCCGCAGCUUGCAUUUUCUUCAUCAUCUUCCGCCUCUUCCUCUCUUCCUUCAACUGCUUUUUCAUAAAAAGCUUUUCCCUGUAUUCUAACUCAUCAUUGUAGGCCUUCUUCUGCUCUUUGGACAACUUUGCCAGCUGUGCUUUGGUCAAGCGCUUGAAAGGUGGCAGUUGAUCAUAUUCUGAUUCAUCUUCUGACUCUGAAGACUCAUCCAGAUCAUCAUCUAAAGCGUCAUCAUCAUCAUCAUCAAAUUGCUCUGCUGGUAGUUUAACCUGUGGCCUUGACUGUAGAAGGGAUGACAAUAGGAAAGGUAAAGGAGGGGAUCUUGUUCUAGUGGCAUAAGGCUGUCCUGGUGCGCUACUAUCUUGUAAUUUAAGCAAUGUGUUUGCUUCAGCCAAAAUUUUUGAUGCAAAUGACAGAAGUAACAAGUGAGGCCUCCAAACCUGUCCAUUAGGCAGCACCCUCUGUCCAGCCCUGUUAGUCCUGCAUGCUGAGUGAUUCUCAACUAGCGAAACAGGAUUCAUAAGGCGCAUAUCUCCAGCAGCCUGACGUAUAGCUUGCUGGACAACAUGAGAGCGCUGAGUUACAAACAUGUCAUAGCUUGUUACAGUACCAUUGGGGCCUUCAGGUGGAGCAGACGCAGCAUGUGUCAGAACAACUAUGGCAUUAAACCAUAUUGAUGGUCCAAAAAUUUCAGUAAUUGUCCUCAACAAUGGCAUAUCACCAUUAUCUCUGCUCUGCAUAUCCAACCUGUCAAGAUACAGAACAAUAUCUGGGGGUGUCUUCUUAAUAAACCGUUUGACAGAAUGAAGGAUCUUUUCAUUCUGGCGCUGGUCUGACCAGGAAGGAAGAAGCCCAGGAGUGUCAAUCACCCGAACCUUGAUUCCCUGCACAGUGCCAACAACAUCCUGAACCUUUUUUGUCCCUACCUGGAAAGCAUCAGUGUCAAACUUAACUUCAUCAAAUAUCGAAUUUAUGGUUGCACUUUUACCAACACCAGUUUUUCCAAGAACCAUUAUUGUGCAAGAGAAGUCCAGGGGUUCUUGUCCAGCUGCCUCGAGUUGCUCAGCCAUAGCACUUGCACGAUCAAAACUAAAAGCACCAACACGACCUCCACUUCUCCCCCGUAGCUGUUCAGCCAAUCCCAAUCUAUACAAGACUUGGGCAACAACCACAUUAUGUGGAGUCUGUCCAUUCCGAUGAGCUAGACGCAAAAACUUGACUCUUAUCAUCUGGAGCUUCUCACGUGUCUCAUCAUAUUCAUCAGCCUCUCCAUUUGUAGAUUCUUCAACAAGCUGGUUUUGUGCUGGAGAUGCUGUUCCAUUUACACGAGGCUGCUGAACCACUCGGGGAGCAGGUUCCAAUAGUGGGGCAGCACGACCAAGGCCGGCAGGUGCCGGUAUCCGAGUUGCAGAUGCAUUGGAAGAUGAUGGAUGCUCCGUUGCAGAUCUGGCUUCAGAUUCCCUAACCCUAGGAACACUUUGCUUCAGGUCCUUUACAACAACUGACACCGGUUCCUUCUCUAUGACUUUAUCAACCGAUUCCUUCUCUACAACUUUAUCAACUCCAACAACUGCAUCUUGAGAAACCUUCGAGACCUUUUCAUUAUUGUCAGAGGGCAAUGCUUCUGAUGAUUUAGACAUUUCAUCAUCUGCAGUCACUUUACCCCUAACUGAAAUUCCGGAAUGGUUCAAAGAAGCUGAAGAGUCAGAAACCGAAACAUCUUUCUGCUCAUUGGUCCUGUCAUUCAAAUUUCCUGGUUCCAUAGUAGGGGACUCAUUUAAUUUCAGUCCUUGAUGAUCAGAAGCAUCACCCAUUAGUUCUGGACCAGUUGAUUCUUUUUCUGUCACUUCUGCCUUUAAGGGGAAGUGACCUCCUUGUAGAAUAGAAACAGAGUCGUUGUCUUGAUCAUCUAUCUGCUGUUCAUCCUUAUUAGUACAGUUAAUUGGUUCUGGACUACACACGGCCUUUUCUCCAUCUAACUGCUGCCCUUCAACUUUAUUACUACCGUUGACUGGUUCUGGACUAAUGGCUUUUACUCCAUCUAUCUGCUGCUCUUCAUCCUUAUUACUUCCAUUAACGGGUUCUGGACUAUGCACUGCUUUUACUCCAUCUAUCUGCUGCUCUUCAUCCUUAUUACUUCCAUUAACGGGUUCUGGACUAUGCACUGCUUUUACUCCAUCUAUCUGCUGCUCUUCAUCCUUAUUACUUCCAUUAACGG